UCAUCCCAUACCCUGUCUCUGCCGCAGACACCACCUCUGUCAUCACCACUGUCUCUGCCGCAGACACCACCUCUGCCAUCACCACCACCUCUGCCACAGCCACCCUACGACUUCCAUAACCACUCUAACGAAACACCACCUUACCCUAUAUCUCUAGCCACUUAUUUCACCAAUUUCUCCUCUAUCCAUCUCUGAAACCCUAGGUGGGAAAUUGGUAAAAUAGGUGAGUCUAUAGAAGUGAUUGAAGACAGGAGAGAGAGCAGGAAGAACAAAGAAAGAAUGGGUCGACGCUAUAGAGAAGUAUGAUUUUUUUUGGAAUGGAAUUACAAAGCUAGUCUUCAUCGCUAUAAACCAAAGUGGAGGUGGCAUUUAGGGGACAACCGGGUCUUCGCAGUUAGUGUUUAAUCAUCUGCAUCUAGGUCACGUUAUACGCAGGUGCAGUAGUAGAUGGAGGGGAGGUUGGGCUUCAUGGGGGUGGUUUGCUUCUUCACGUUAUACACUGCAAGCAUAAUUUGGUAGUUCAACAUUCAGGAGGAUCUUAUCAAAAGCUACAACCACCUUUCACUUUUCUCUUCCUGGUGCCAGAAAAACAUGAAAUUUGGAUUACAUGAGGAAAGAUUAUAGAUACUUUGAAACCUAAAUGUGUACAUAAUUAGAAUGAUUGAAGGCUGCCUAAUUAAGUAAAGAUAAACAAAUGGCUGGGUACCUCCUGACUAUGUCCAAGGCAGUGGGGUGGAUGAUCCAUCAGACUUCACUGUCCACCGACGCAAAUAUGGUCCUGCCGAUAUAGUUUCACUUUAAAACGAAGAAGGUACCUGCAACCAA
This is a long non-coding RNA of Papaver somniferum (opium poppy), 825 nucleotides long. RefSeq lists it as uncharacterized. The record is from RefSeq and is a predicted model, not a curated record. The transcript is spliced from 2 exons. NCBI's taxonomy places the organism in Eukaryota, Viridiplantae, Streptophyta, Magnoliopsida, Ranunculales, Papaveraceae.